Triticum urartu is the source of this 208-nucleotide non-coding RNA. The record is from RefSeq and is a predicted model, not a curated record. Lineage: Eukaryota; Viridiplantae; Streptophyta; Magnoliopsida; Poales; Poaceae.
CACUGUCAAAUCUGGACAGCCAGCUUCUAGACGCAACAUCUUCACUUCUUUCCUUGCACAUUCCUGUUAAGGAAGCAAAGAAAUCUUGGAUUCAUAAAUGGGAGAAGCACAUAAGGGAGAAGAAGAUGAUUGCAAGGAUGGAGAGGGAGCAAAUCAUUUGGAGGGAUAGAAUGCCACUGUUUGGUGUUUUUAUGCAUUUUUAUUUGCU